CUGACCAUAACCUCGACGGCCGUGCGCGUAUGCACACGCAUGGUCCUCGGACGCUGAGCGCGGUCCGCCGUCCUUCGCGGAUGGUGGUCGCUCGAAUGUCAGCCCGCCGCCGACACACACCGGUCCACGCGACCGGCGGCCAAGCUUUGCAGACGCACAGCGAAGGCCGAGCUGAACUGAGCGGCGGAGCGAGCACGGUUGCACUGCACGCAAGCAGCACCAA
Molecule: unclassified non-coding RNA, 223 nt
Filed under: uncultured Ascomycota
Lineage: Eukaryota; Fungi; Ascomycota
Description: sequence contains ITS2
Source: RNAcentral